UUCGGGACUGAUUAUUUUGUGACUGAGUGGCGGACGGGUGAGUAACGCGUGGGUAACCUGCCUCGUACUGGGGGAUAACAGUUGGAAACAGCUGCUAAUACCGCAUAAGCUCACAGAGCCACAUGGCUCAGAGAGAAAAACUCCGGUGGUACGAGAUGGACCCGCGUCUGAUUAGCUAGUUGGUGAGGUAACGGCUCACCAAGGCGACGAUCAGUAGCCGGCCUGAGAGGGUGAACGGCCACAUUGGGACUGAGACACGGCCCAAACUCC
This 270-nucleotide ribosomal RNA is filed under the name uncultured Eubacteriales bacterium. RNAcentral's name for it is "uncultured Clostridiales bacterium partial 16S ribosomal RNA". It matches the Rfam family "Bacterial small subunit ribosomal RNA", at positions 65 to 339 of the family's 1533-position model. Lineage: Bacteria; Bacillati; Bacillota; Clostridia; Eubacteriales. The record is from RNAcentral.